AUGAUUUUUGUUUCACCUGCAGGUUCGCCUACUUAGAGUCAUUAAAACAGUACAGUAACAAUCUGCGUCUGACCUCCUUUAUUCUCCAGUUUGUUCCAUUUAUUCAUUUAUUUAUUUAUUUAUUUCGUUUAUUUAUUUUUGUCCCCUGUCCUUCAGGCGCGAUCGUUUAGCGGAGAUGUCCCGGCAGCUGCCAGCCUGGCUUUCCUCCAGACGGUGGUGUUGGAGGAUUACCUGCAGAGAGUGAGGAGGGCAGAUUUUGAUGUUUUUCACUCCAGUCUGAGGAACAGAAACCCUCUAAUCCCCAUCCAGCUGUACAUCCGCUCCUGGAAGAAGACCUACUGAUAAGUCCUUCACCUCCUCCUGCUGCUCCUCCUGCUGCUCCUCCUGCAGAUGUCCCAGCUGAUCUGCAGGACUGAAGCAGAAACGUUGCCUCAGUGGAGGAUUCACGCUGCAUCGGGUCCACAGAGAACUUUAGACUCGUUUUAAACCACUUCCGUUUGUUUCCUGAAUAAAAAACACAAACUGCA
This is a non-coding RNA of Plectropomus leopardus (leopard coralgrouper), 527 nucleotides long. The record is from RefSeq and is a predicted model, not a curated record. Lineage: Eukaryota; Metazoa; Chordata; Actinopteri; Perciformes; Serranidae.